CGACAAGCUGUGGGCCAUGGAGUGUUCGGGGUAGAAAAGGCUGCCGGCGGUGAGGUCCAGCUCGGGCGGCGCGACCGGUACCCCGAUGGCCUUGAUUCCGUCCAUGGACCGGGCGAAGUCCAGGUCGACGCCGAGGUACGCGCCGGUGUCGGCGAAGAACGCGUCGGCGGCUGCGGCGCUAUCCUCGUGGCUAUUGUCGUCGGGCUCGGGGAGAAGCCACGACGCCGCCUCGGCCUCGUUGCUCCGGUCAUCAUCCGCAUCCUCCUCCCGCGCCGCGGCG
RNAcentral lists this unclassified non-coding RNA (280 nucleotides) under Hevea brasiliensis (rubber tree). The record is from RNAcentral. Lineage: Eukaryota; Viridiplantae; Streptophyta; Magnoliopsida; Malpighiales; Euphorbiaceae.